Long non-coding RNA from Ruditapes philippinarum (Manila clam), 385 nucleotides. RefSeq lists it as uncharacterized. The record is from RefSeq and is a predicted model, not a curated record. The transcript has 3 exons. NCBI's taxonomy places the organism in Eukaryota, Metazoa, Mollusca, Bivalvia, Venerida, Veneridae.
UAUGAUUACUUAUCAUAUAAAAGAAUGUAGGUUACAGUGAUAACGUAUUUAUAACAGAAAUCAGUCUUUUUUGUACAUCUGUAGAGUGGAAACAACAUGUGGAAAAUUUACGUGUGUGUCAUUGGAUUUGCUCUUCUAGGGCUUGCCAUUGGUCAACUCAUCACACCUUUUAUGGCGUGUGAAAUGCAGCAAAUGAAGGAAAAGGGCUUAAGCAGUACUUUAUCUUACAGUGAUCCGGAAAUGCAGGAAAUCAGGGAUUACUGUUUUAAACAUGCAUUUGAUCAUCUCGGAACACUCGGGUAACAUGGUAACCAACACCAAUUUGAAUGUUUCACAACCUUCAAUACGAUAAUAAAAAUAAGUCAUUCACGUUAUUAAAACGCUU